AAACUGUCAGAAUACAGAGGUUCUGUUGUAACUAAGGAAGAUGAUGUAGAAAUGACAGAAUACAGAGGCUCUGUUGUAACUCAUAAAUAUAACAAAAGACGGACAAAAGACGGACCCAAGGUACCAACUGAUGACAGACUUACGACCGUGAUAACAGACCUCUGUUUGGCCCAAUGAUGACAGACUAAUGACCGUGAUAACAGACCUCUGUUUGGCCCAAUGAUGACAGACUGUCAUCAACGACCGUGAUGACAGAACUCUGUUUGGCCCAAUGAUGACAGACUAACGACCGUGAUGACAGAACUCUGUUUGGCCCAAUGAUGACAGACUAACGACCGUGAUGACAGAACUCUGUUUGGCCCAAUGAUGACAGACACGACCGUGAUGAGAGAACUCUGUUUGGUCCAAUGAUGACAGACUAACGACCGUGACAACAGAACUCUGUUUGGCCCACUGAUGACAGACUAACGACUGUGAUGACAGAACUCUGUUUGGUCCAAUGAUGACAGACUAACGAUCGUGACAACAGAACUCUGUUUGGCCCACUGAUGACAGACUAACGACUGUGAUGACAGAACUCUGUUUGGUCCAAUGAUGACAGACUAACGACCGUGACAACAGACCUCUGUUAGGCCCACUGAUGACAGACUAACGACCGUGAUGACAGAACUCUGUUUGGCCCAAUGAUGACAGACUAACGACCGUGACAACAGAACUCUGUUUGGCCCAAUGAUGACAGACUAACGACCGUGAUGACAGAACUCUGUUUGGCCCAAUGAUGACAGACUAACGACCGUGACAACAGAACUCUGUUUGGCCCAAUGAUGACAGACUAACGACCGUGAUGACAGAACUCUGUUUGGCCCAAUGAUGGGGUUGUUGAUAGCAUCAUAAAACAGACAUAUGAAGAUGAACAUGGUUGUCAAUGGCGACAGGUUGUGACAAGGUUCAACAAUACUUAAGUGUAAUGGAUAAGACAAUGGUUUUGUAAUUGCACAGUUAAAAGCCCAGACUAGAGUGUCAAGGAGGUGAGGAACAUCUACAAUCCAAACUUAAAGGAUUGAGUGAUUUGUAGAAACAAGCAUAACCAUGGAAACUAACAACAGGUAUGGGACUUGGAUUGGAUGUAGCCAUAGUUACCAGCUAGGAUGAUAAUACUUUGAAAAUUUACAGAAGGACAGAAGA
This is a long non-coding RNA of Pecten maximus, 1185 nucleotides long. RefSeq lists it as uncharacterized. The record is from RefSeq and is a predicted model, not a curated record. NCBI's taxonomy places the organism in Eukaryota, Metazoa, Mollusca, Bivalvia, Pectinida, Pectinidae. The transcript has 2 exons.